GACGUAGGGCGCGAGCGUUGUCCGGAUUUAUUGGGCGUAAAGAGCUCGUAGGCGGCUUGUUGCGUCGUCCGUGAAAACCCACGGCUUAACUGUGGGCUUGCGGUCGAUACGGGCGGGCUGGAGUUCGGUAGGGGAGACUGGAAUUCCUGGUGUAGCGGUGAAAUGCGCAGAUAUCAGGAGGAACACCGGUGGCGAAGGCGGGUCUCUGGGCCGAUACUGACGCUGAGGAGCGAAAGCGUGGGGAGCGAACAGG
RNAcentral lists this ribosomal RNA (253 nucleotides) under uncultured bacterium. RNAcentral describes it as "partial 16S ribosomal RNA". It matches the Rfam family "Bacterial small subunit ribosomal RNA", at positions 524 to 776 of the family's 1533-position model. The record is from RNAcentral.